UACGUAGGGGGCUAGCGUUGUCCGGAUUUAUUGGGCGUAAAGAGCGUUUAGGCGGCCAGGUAGGUCUGGUGUGAAAACUCGAGGCUUAACCUCGAGAUGUCAUCGGAAACCAUCUGGCUAGAGUCCGGAAGAGGAAAGUGGAAUUCCUGGUGUAGCGGUGAAAUGCGCAGAUAUCAGGAAGAACACCAAUGGCGAAAGCAGCUUUCUGGGACGGUACUGACGCUGAGACGCGAAAGCGUGGGGAGCGAACAGG
This 253-nucleotide ribosomal RNA is filed under the name uncultured bacterium. RNAcentral describes it as "partial 16S ribosomal RNA". It matches the Rfam family "Bacterial small subunit ribosomal RNA", at positions 524 to 776 of the family's 1533-position model. The record is from RNAcentral.